AGGGGGGAACCUGCGGAGGGAUCAUUACCGAGUUUACAACUCCCAAACCCCUGUGAACAUACCUACAGUUGCCUCGGCGGAUCAGUCUGUCCUUCGGGACGGCCCGCCGCAGGACCCUAAACUCUGUUUUUAGUGGAACUUCUGAGUAAAAAAAACAAAUAAAUCAAAACUUUCAACAACGGAUCUCUUGGUUCUGGCAUCGAUGAAGAACGCAGCAAAAUGCGAUAAGUAAUGUGAAUUGCAGAAUUCAGUGAAUCAUCGAAUCUUUGAACGCACAUUGCGCCCGCCAGUAUUCUGGCGGGCAUGCCUGUUCGAGCGUCAUUUCAACCCUCAAGCCCAGCUUGGUGUUGGGAGCUGCAGUCUUGCACUCCCCAAAUACAUUGGCGGUCACGUCGAGCUUCCAUAGCGUAGUAAUUUACACAUCGUUACUGGUAAUCGUCGCGGCCACGCCGUUAAACCCCAACUUCUGAAUGUUGACCUCG
This 482-nucleotide ribosomal RNA is filed under the name Fusarium sp. FLS-2010. Its description in RNAcentral is "eukaryotic LSU rRNA". The stretch from base 168 to 321 matches the Rfam family "5.8S ribosomal RNA". Lineage: Eukaryota; Fungi; Ascomycota; Sordariomycetes; Hypocreales; Nectriaceae. The record is from RNAcentral.